RNAcentral lists this ribosomal RNA (301 nucleotides) under uncultured bacterium. RNAcentral's name for it is "partial 16S ribosomal RNA". It matches the Rfam family "Bacterial small subunit ribosomal RNA", at positions 509 to 807 of the family's 1533-position model. The record is from RNAcentral.
CAGUCGCCGCGGUAAUACGUAGGGGGCAAGCGUUGUCCGGAAUUAUUGGGCGUAAAGCGCGUGUAGGCGGCUCAGCAAGUCCGCUCUGAAAGCCCAGGGCUCAACCCUGGGAUGCGGGUGGAUACUGCUGAGCUCGAGUCCGGAAGAGGCGAGUGGAAUUCCUGGUGUAGCGGUGAAAUGCGCAGAUAUCAGGAGGAACACCAAUGGCGAAGGCAGCUCGCUGGGACGUGACUGACGCUGAGACGCGAAAGCGUGGGGAGCAAACAGGAUUAGAUACCCCCGUAGUCCCUGUCUCUUAUAC